UGGGGAAUUUUGGACAAUGGAGGAAACCCUGAUCCAGCCAUCCCGCGUGUGCGAUGAAGGCCUUCGGGUUGUAAAGCACUUUUGGCAGGAAAGAAACGUCAUGGGUUAAUACCCCGUGAAACUGACGGUACCUGCAGAAUAAGCACCGGCUAACUACGUGCCAGCAGCCGCGGUAAUACGUAGGGUGCAAGCGUUAAUCGGAAUUACUGGGCGUAAAGCGUGCGCAGGCGGUUCGGAAAGAAAGAUGUGAAAUCCCAGAGCUCAACUUUGGAACUGCAUUUUUAACUACCGGGCUAGAGUGUGUCAGAGGGAGGUGGAAUUCCGCGUGUAGCAGUGAAAUGCGUAGAUAUGCGGAGGAACACCGAUGGCGAAGGCAGCCUCCUGGGAUAACACUGACGCUCAUGCACGAAAGCGUGGGGAGCAAACAGG
Molecule: ribosomal RNA, 429 nt
Filed under: Acidobacteriota bacterium
Lineage: Bacteria; Pseudomonadati; Acidobacteriota
Description: Acidobacteria bacterium partial 16S ribosomal RNA
Rfam family: Bacterial small subunit ribosomal RNA
Source: RNAcentral